ACGGGAGGCAGCAGUGGGGAAUAUUGGGCAAUGGGCGCAAGCCUGACCCAGCAACGCCGCGUGAAGGAAGGAGGCCUUCGGGUUGUAAACUUCCUUUGUCAGGGACGAAGGACGUGACGGUACCUGACGAAUAAGCAACGGCUAACUACGUGCCAGCAGCCGCGGUAAUACGUAGGCUGCAAGCGUUGUCCGGAUUUACUGGGUGUAAAGGGCGUGUAGGCGGAGCUGCGAGUCAGAUGUGAAAUCCCGGGGCUCAACCCCGGAACUGCAUUUGAAACUGUAGCCCUUGAGUAUCGGAGAGGCAAGCGGAAUUCCUAGUGUAGCGGUGAAAUGCGUAGAUAUUAGGAGGAACACCAGUGGCGAAGGCGGCUUACUGGACGGUAACUGACGUUGAGGCUCGAAAGCGUGGAGAGCAAACAGGAUUAGAUACCCUGGUA
Molecule: ribosomal RNA, 437 nt
Rfam family: Bacterial small subunit ribosomal RNA